RNAcentral lists this long non-coding RNA (207 nucleotides) under Lathyrus oleraceus (garden pea). RNAcentral's name for it is "Pisum sativum (pea) long non-coding RNA (PSAT_LNC037436)". The record is from RNAcentral. Lineage: Eukaryota; Viridiplantae; Streptophyta; Magnoliopsida; Fabales; Fabaceae.
UGGGUUGUUUAGUAGUGAUUGAUUGUGUAAGUUGCUUAUGAAAUGAGCUUAAUUUAUAGGCUAGGAAUUCGGUUAAAGAAUAGAAUAGGGAUUGUGAGAAAAUGCACAAAGUGUAAGUGAAUUUGGAUAAAUUUAAAUGCAUUUGAAUAUAAAUUUGAAAUUGACAUGAAAAUAUCUCAAUUUCAAUCUCAAAUUCUGAUAUAUUAU